This 684-nucleotide ribosomal RNA is filed under the name Penelope obscura. RNAcentral describes it as "partial 12S small subunit ribosomal RNA". It matches the Rfam family "Bacterial small subunit ribosomal RNA", at positions 521 to 1494 of the family's 1533-position model. Lineage: Eukaryota; Metazoa; Chordata; Aves; Galliformes; Cracidae. The record is from RNAcentral.
CCAUACAAGAGGCCCAAAUUAACUGCCCAUCCGGCGUAAAGAGUGGCAAGAUGUUAUCCCCCCAACUAAGAUCAAAAUGCAACCAAGCUGUCAUAAGCCCAAGACGCACCUAAACCCACCCCCAAAACAGAUCCUAGUACCCGCGAUCAAUUUCAACCCACGAAAGCUGGGGCACAAACUGGGAUUAGAUACCCCACUAUGCCUAGCCCUAAAUUCAGAUACUUUUCCCCACCAGAGUAUUCGCCCGAGAACUACGAGCACAAACGCUUAAAACUCUAAGGACUUGGCGGUGUCCCAAACCCACCUAGAGGAGCCUGUUCUAUAACCGAUAACCCACGAUACACCCAACCACCUCUCGCAAUCGCAGCCUACAUACCGCCGUCGCCAGCUCACCUCCCCUGAAAGUCUUACAGUGAGCCCAAUAGCUUUCCCCGCUAGCAAGACAGGUCAAGGUAUAGCCCAUGAGGUGGAAGAAAUGGGCUACAUUUUCUAGCAUAGAACACACGGCAAUGGGGCGUGAAACCGCCCCCAGAAGGAGGAUUUAGCAGUAAAGUCGAACAAUAGAGUCCACUUUAAACCGGCUCUGGGACACGUACAUACCGCCCGUCACCCUCCUCACAGGCCUACCCACCCAUAUAAAUAAUCAACCCUACAACAAGCCAAAGAUGAGGUAAGUCGUAACAA